AGUUCUGUACUUUAAAAAAAGAUUUGAUUUGCAAUUAAAAAUUGAGUAACACCACUCCAGAGCUA
Molecule: transfer RNA, 65 nt
Filed under: Pseudunio marocanus
Lineage: Eukaryota; Metazoa; Mollusca; Bivalvia; Unionida; Margaritiferidae
Description: tRNA-Ala
Source: RNAcentral